CUUUCAGCAGCGCAGCAGAGAGGAGCAGAAGAAAACAGAGCGUGGCCGGAGUUUGGAGAGAUUUGUUAGCAGGAGUUUGGAGAGAUUUGUUUGAAAAAUUUAAAGACGAAGACUUCAUCUUAACCGACGCAAGAGGCAAUUUCAGAGCAGGUCCAGGAAGAGAUCGCUAUGAGUCAAACACAGAUGGAGGUUCUGACCCCUGCGCUGAGUUAGAGAUAAGGAGAAC
Molecule: long non-coding RNA, 226 nt
Organism: Micropterus salmoides (largemouth bass)
Lineage: Eukaryota; Metazoa; Chordata; Actinopteri; Centrarchiformes; Centrarchidae
Exons: 3
Source: RefSeq, a predicted model, not a curated record